This 351-nucleotide ribosomal RNA is filed under the name uncultured bacterium. RNAcentral describes it as "partial 16S ribosomal RNA". It matches the Rfam family "Bacterial small subunit ribosomal RNA", at positions 338 to 686 of the family's 1533-position model. The record is from RNAcentral.
CCUACGGGAGGCAGCAGUGGGGAAUAUUGGUCAAUGGACGCGAGCCUGAACCAGCCAAGUAGCGUGAAGGAUGACUGCCCUCCGGGUUGUAAACUUCUUUUAUAAAGGAGUAAAGUGGGGCACGUGUGCCUUUUUUUAUUUACUUUAUGAAUAUGGAUCGGCUCACUCCGUUCCAGCAGCCGCGGUAAGACGGAGGAUCCGAGCGGUGGCCGGAUUUAUUGGGUUUAAAGGGAGCGUAGAUGGGUUGUUAAGGAAGUUGUGAAAGUUGGGGGGUCAACCGGAAAAUUGCAAUUGAUAAUGGCAGUCUUGAGGACAGGUGAGGUAGGCGGAAUCCGUGGUGUAGCGGUGAAA